Molecule: ribosomal RNA, 484 nt
Filed under: uncultured bacterium
Lineage: Bacteria
Description: bacterial SSU rRNA
Rfam family: Bacterial small subunit ribosomal RNA
Source: RNAcentral
AUUGAACGCUGGCGGAAUGCUUUACACAUGCAAGUCGAACGGCAGCACGGGGGCAACCCUGGUGGCGAGUGGCGAACGGGUGAGUAAUACAUCGGAACGUGCCCAGUCGUGGGGGAUAACGUAGCGAAAGUUACGCUAAUACCGCAUACGAUCUACGGAUGAAAGCGGGGGACCGUAAGGCCUCGCGCGAUUGGAGCGGCCGAUGUCAGAUUAGGUAGUUGGUGAGGUAAAGGCUCACCAAGCCGACGAUCUGUAGCUGGUCUGAGAGGACGACCAGCCACACUGGGACUGAGACACGGCCCAGACUCCUACGGGAGGCAGCAGUGGGGAAUUUUGGACAAUGGGCGCAAGCCUGAUCCAGCCAUUCCGCGUGCAGGACGAAGGCCUUCGGGUUGUAAACUGCUUUUGUACAGAACGAAAAGCUCUGGGUUAAUACCCUGGGGUCAUGACGGUACUGUAAGAAUAAGCACCGGCUAACUACGUG